GCCUCCUGCAAAGAUCGAAGUAUAGGAGGUCUUGCCUGCCCAGUGAUAAAUUAAACGGCCGCGGUAUUUUGACCGUGCGAAGGUAGCGCAAUCACUUGUCUUUUAAAUGAAGACCUGUAUGAAUGGCGGAACGAGGGCUUAACUGUCUCCCCUUUCCAGUCAAUGAAAUUGAUCUGCCCGUGCAGAAGCGGGCAUAAAUAUACAAGACGAGAAGACCCUUUGGAGCUUAAGAUACAAGAUCAACCAUGUCAAGAACACAAAACAAGUUAAACUAAAUGGUGCCUGACUCCUAUCUUCGGUUGGGGCGACCACGGGAGAAAACAAAGCUCCCACGCGG
This 337-nucleotide ribosomal RNA is filed under the name Glanidium sp. RS1. Its description in RNAcentral is "partial 16S ribosomal RNA". It matches the Rfam family "Bacterial large subunit ribosomal RNA", at positions 1818 to 2311 of the family's 2925-position model. The record is from RNAcentral. Lineage: Eukaryota; Metazoa; Chordata; Actinopteri; Siluriformes; Auchenipteridae.